AGAGUUUGAUCCUGGCUCAGAUUGAACGCUGGCGGAAUGCUUUACACAUGCAAGUCGAACGGCAGCACGGGAGCUUGCUCCUGGUGGCGAGUGGCGAACGGGUGAGUAACAUAUCGGAACAUAUCCUAUCGUGGGGGAUAACUAGUCGAAAGACUAGCUAAUACCGCAUACGUCCUGAGGGAGAAAGCGGGGGCUCGCAAGACCUCGCGCGAUUGGAGUGGCCGAUAUCUGAUUAGCUAGAUGGUGAGGUAAAAGCUCACCAUGGCGACGAUCAGUAGCUGGUCUGAGAGGAUGAUCAGCCACACUGGGACUGAGACACGGCCCAGACUCCUACGGGAGGCAGCAGUGGGGAAUUUUGGACAAUGGGCGCAAGCCUGAUCCAGCAAUGCCGCGUGCAGGACGAAGGCCUUCGGG
Molecule: ribosomal RNA, 414 nt
Filed under: uncultured bacterium
Lineage: Bacteria
Description: bacterial SSU rRNA
Rfam family: Bacterial small subunit ribosomal RNA
Source: RNAcentral